UACGGGGGGGGCAAGCGUUGUUCGGAAUUACUGGGCGUAAAGGGCUCGUAGGUGGCCAACUAAGUCAGACGUGAAAUCCCUCAGCUUAACUGGGGAACUGCGUCUGAUACUGGAUGGCUUGAGUUUGGGAGAGGGAUGCGGAAUUCCAGGUGUAGCGGUGAAAUGCGUAGAUAUCUGGAGGAACACCGGUGGCGAAGGCGGCAUCCUGGACCGACACUGACGCUGAGGAGCGAAAGCCAGGGGAGCAAACGGG
RNAcentral lists this ribosomal RNA (253 nucleotides) under uncultured bacterium. RNAcentral describes it as "partial 16S ribosomal RNA". It matches the Rfam family "Bacterial small subunit ribosomal RNA", at positions 524 to 776 of the family's 1533-position model. The record is from RNAcentral.